GGGGCUUGAGAGAUGGCUCAGAGGU
This 25-nucleotide non-coding RNA is filed under the name Cricetulus griseus (Chinese hamster). The record is from RNAcentral. Lineage: Eukaryota; Metazoa; Chordata; Mammalia; Rodentia; Cricetidae.